UACGUAGGUGGCAAGCGUUGUCCGGAAUUACUGGGCGUAAAGGGCGCGUAGGCGGCUUGGUCAGUCCCGUGUGAAAUCCCUCGGCUCAACUGAGGAACUGCACGGGAAACUGCCUGGCUUGAGUUCGGGAGAGGGAAGCGGAAUUCCGGGUGUAGCGGUGAAAUGCGUAGAUAUCGGAAGGAACAUCAGUGGCGAAAGCGGCUUCCUGGACCAGUACCGACGUUCAGGCACGAAAGCGUGGGGAGCAAACAGG
RNAcentral lists this ribosomal RNA (253 nucleotides) under uncultured bacterium. RNAcentral's name for it is "partial 16S ribosomal RNA". It matches the Rfam family "Bacterial small subunit ribosomal RNA", at positions 524 to 776 of the family's 1533-position model. The record is from RNAcentral.